GGAAGGCCAGUGAUGAGAUUCAGCCAGUUCAUUCCGGUUCGUGCGACUGUGGGAGGCUUCGCCUGCCCACCCGGACAAAAUGCGCAACUGCUGCACAUGUGCAGAAGGCCGUACACAUGCACACGCUCACAUUUGCGAACCGGUAGGGAAGCCUACACUCUCAAAACAAGUGCAUGCUGGGAAGCCAGACUCCAUUUCUUUUAGCAUUUGGCGAAGACAGAAGCACAAAGAAGAAUCCAUCUUAAUCUGUGGCACAAGGGUCAUCCAAGGAGAAACCCACAUCCCACAUACACAGCAUCGCUGAGAGAACUCUCAGAAAGUUCAGACUCAACAAGGGCAAAGGAUUACUCUGCAGCUACUACAGUACUCCUACAUGAAGGAUAUGUACUCCCUAAUUCUGUAAUGCAGGGGAGUCCAAACUUGGCAACUUUAAAACUUGUGGACUUCCAA
Long non-coding RNA from Ahaetulla prasina, 450 nucleotides. RefSeq lists it as uncharacterized. The record is from RefSeq and is a predicted model, not a curated record. The transcript is spliced from 3 exons. NCBI's taxonomy places the organism in Eukaryota, Metazoa, Chordata, Lepidosauria, Squamata, Colubridae.